Molecule: RNA transcript, 1604 nt
Organism: Prosopis cineraria
Lineage: Eukaryota; Viridiplantae; Streptophyta; Magnoliopsida; Fabales; Fabaceae
Exons: 15
Source: RefSeq, a predicted model, not a curated record
CACGGCGCUCAGAUCUAUGAAAUCCACGCUCAGGAGCAGAGACUCCCAUUUUGUUGCUCGGUUUCUGAAGCCUUAGGAGGAAGAAGACAAGGAAGAAAGCUCUCAAACACAGCAAUGUCAGCCAUUGACGGAGAUUUCGAUCUUCGGUCUUCAUUCACAAUCGAUGAGUACACCUUCGCCGAUGCGGGAAAUUUGGAGCACUGCGCCAAGUAUUUGAACCAGUCUCUUGUUACGUUCGGAUUUCCAGCUUCUCUGGAUCUUUUCGCGAAUGACCCUGUUUCCAUUGCACGGACUUGCAAUUGCAUACACUUCUUGCUACAGCAGAGACAGCGGGAUAUUGAAUUUAGAGAGUCUGCUAAUGAACAAAGACAGCGACUAUUAUCUGACAUAUCAAGAUUGGAAGCCAAAGUUGAGAGGCUUGAAGGACAACUACAAUCUAAAGACCGGGAGAUUGCAACAAUUACUAGAACAGAAGCUAAAAACACUGCAGCUCUCAAGGCUCAAAUUGAGAAGCUUCAACAGGAGCGAGAUGAAUUUCAAAGAAUGGUUAUUGGUAAUCAGCAAGUAAGGACUCAACAAAUGCAUGAGAUGAAGAAGAAGGAAAAGGAAUACAUAAAGUUGCAGGAGAGGUUAAAUCAAGUAUUGAUGGAGAAGAAGAAGGAAUCAAGGUCAGGCAUGGAAAUAAUGAAUUUGCUACAGAAAGAAGGGCGGCAACGCGGAACAUGGAAUGGGAAGAAGACAGACAAUGACUUUUAUAAAAAAAUCGUAGAUGCUUAUGAGGUGAAAAAUCAAGAACUUAUAGCAGAGAAUGCUGAUUUAAGAGCAUUAUUGAGAUCAAUGCAGAUGGAUAUGCGUGAUUUCAUUAAUGCUCCUAAUGGGCAAUCAAAACAAUCUGUCAGUGAUAAUGAAAGAGCUGAAAGUGAUCCUUCACAAUCUCCAUUGGUUGGGAGGACGGAUGUAUUUGAUCUCCCUUUUCACAUGGCUAGAGAUCAAAUAGAAGAAAGCCUUCGAGCCAAGAUGGCUUCUAUUAAGGAGCGGAUGGUGCAAUUGCAAGAUGCUCAGAAAGGAGCUGAAGUUACUUCAGAAGCAACUGAGAGAGAACUUGAGCUUGAAGCUCAACUUGUUGAAGCGAGGAGCAUCAUACAGGAGCAGGCAUCCAUAAUGUCCAAACAUCUUGCGAAGUCUGAGAGGCCAAGGUACUUUGAGUGUGCUUUAGAGUUGGCGAGUAUUUUCUGAUUAUGUGUGGAUGCAGUAGUAAGUCACCCGUUGCCGUACUUUUACAGGGAAUCUGUCAUUCCACCACCAGCUGAGGCAGUUUAACUAAGGAAGUGGGGGCAUCCUAAUAUAAUUCUUCUUCGUCACUAACGAAGCUCAGAUAUAUGUGAAUAGGCUCACAUAUGUUGUAAUAUCAAUGCAAUUAGUAUGAUCCAUCAUAACUAGGAUCACUAUGCCCUGGAACUUCUGGAAAAAGAGGGCAUAUAUAACUAUAUAUGUACUAUAUACAUAUACAUAUACAUACAUACAUACAUACAUACUAUAUAUAUAUAUCUCGGCAUCAAGUCUAUGGCAUUAAAACAUGGACUUGCGCGGUAGAUUUAAAUGAA